Long non-coding RNA from Syngnathoides biaculeatus (alligator pipefish), 2731 nucleotides. RefSeq lists it as uncharacterized. Lineage: Eukaryota; Metazoa; Chordata; Actinopteri; Syngnathiformes; Syngnathidae. The transcript is spliced from 9 exons. The record is from RefSeq and is a predicted model, not a curated record.
GCGAAUUUGCACCGAGCGGUAUGGCGGGCGUCUUUUGGAUGGCCUCUUGGUAUCGUGAGGAGUCUCCUUAGAUUUGUUUUAAGGUCAGUUCCAAAACAGCUCCAAAAAUAUGAAGCUCUCAAGUGUAUGCGUUUGCUGACGAGUAGUCACUCGACGUGCUCCACAUGUCACACAUUUUGAGUGUCAUGCAGGAUCUCUCCCAGGCUGUGGAAAAUGGUUCCUCAGUGUGAGAUGAGGAAAUGAAGUUUGGCUUUUUGUCUGACUUAAGUGGACCAAUGUGCAAUCUGGUCUGUUUUUUGGAUCCUAACACAAUUACAAAUGACAGUAUUUUACAAUUCUGAGAUUCAAAAGUUACUUAUUCAUUUAAUAUUAUCCCCCUCGGUAAGGUUUGACGCUGACCAAGCAGUAGAUGGCAGCGUAAAGCAAAGUCGAGCCGCAUACUUUCAAAUGAGCAAAUGCAUUACUUCAUCAGACUUCUAAAAGUUAAAUUAUAGCUAUAUGCUGUUCAUAACUUUCAUGUACAGAGUUUCUGAAGAGUUGGAGGUUUUGAUUUUGUGAGCCAUAGUGACAUUUCAGUGUUUUGCAAAUUUUGUGGCUUCAGGCUGUAGUCUAAGUGUGUUCCUGUUAGCAUUACAAUUGGCUCCUCCAAAUCACUUGACUCGGGCUUCAGCAAACAGACUGAAAUUCACUUAUGUAGCUAUCUUUUUUUUGGUUGAGUGUUGGUUUUCUUGCUUGGCUUUAUGUGAAUAAUUUGUUCAACUUUUCAUGUCGCCUAAUAAUUGAAGUUUUAACUCGACCAGAAGAAAAGAACUGGGCAAUGUAGGGUUGGGUGGCCAGGAGGUUCAAUCUGGGCUGAGACUUUUUUUUUUUUUUUUUUUUUUGUCUUCCCUCUUUUCCAAACCUCUAACAUGGGCAUUGGCAACCUGCAGCUCUUUAGUGCUCCCCUACUGGCUCCCUGGAGCUUUUUCAAAAAUGUUUGAAAAAUAUUGUUUUUCAUUUUAUUAUGGUUCUGUAGGUGGACAAAUGUUUUCCAAUUCUGUAAGAAUGUGUAGAAUAAAUUAAAUUUCAACAUUUCUGUCAAGGAAGAUUUGCAUCAUAGCCUGCGACAUGUUUUGAACAGGGCGGGAUGCUAGGCAGGUGCCGGUUGUAAACAAACCGGUGGCUGUGUGAUGGGCCAUGGAUCCCAAGGGAGAAAAAUUACUAAGAACAGAGGAGUCAAUGUUUCUUGGAACGAAUCAUUGGCAUUCAUUGACAAUGCAGAAGAAUUGCCUGAAUGUUUGCUUUGUAGCGAGAAGUUGUCAAAUAACAGUAAUGUAGAAAGGCAUUUGCAGGGAAGGCAUGUUAAAUUUGCAGCAGAGUACCCAGUUAGGAAAGAGUGGAAAAAGUGCAAUUGCAUUACAAAUGGAAAAAUGAGAGUGCAAAAAAUUUAAGUGAAUUGCAUUUCCAAACGCCACGGAUGCUGCAAGUUUUUGUUGAAACCUGAGAGGAGCUAAAGCGUGGGAAACCGUUCAGAUGGCUGGAGCUGACCAGUGAUGUCUCAAACAGCAAAGCAAUGAAACAUAAUGAACUUAAACUUGAGGUGCCAUCAUACGACAGUCACGGAGUGCAUCGUUCUCUACAGAAUGAAACUCAAGAUGUUUUCAGUAUGGCUUUCAACAUUUUGGGUUGCCGACCCCUGCUCUAACAAAUGGUGCCGCGACCCAGAUUCUGAAGUACAUCAGUGGUGAGACGAGCUGAGACAUAGAACUGCACUGGAAUAAAGAGAGAGCUGGAGCCAAUCCCAGCUAACUUCGGGCAGCGGCAGACUACACCCCGAACUUGUCGCCAGCCAGUCGCAGUGCAGAUGUCAAAACCAUCCCUGAGCUGGAAUCGAUCUCACGCUGCCUUCACACGAAAUAUCCCUCUGAGGGAAACCCGAACUACAACGUGGCCCUCGAGAAAUGAGUUCGACAUCCCUGCACUACACCCAAAAAAAAUUUUUACCCGAACACUGGCAUAGACCGAGCAAGAGCUGAAUGACAUGGACAAAAUAGAAACACGUGGAUACACCUUACACACUGUAAAAGGUCAUCUCAGCUGAGUCAACCAAGGGGAAAGCUUUACAGGGACAGAUUUUAAGGUGGGAAGUCUCAACAAAGCAUGGUGUCAUGAUAUCCAUCUACAAACUGCCGCACUGCUCCCAUGCAGCUCUUUGUUGUGGUGGUUUGUUGGUCAAAGCAGAGGAUACACAAUUGGCCGCAUCCGUCUUUGGACCUCCCCUUGGGUUCUCCCGAAGGCGAAGGUCCUCUUGGGAAGAUGGAGAUUUGACAUACAUUGAUGCAAAUGGCAAAUUGAAUGCUUUCCCGCCAGGACUUGGGGGCAUUACCCCUGCGUCCCGUGGGGAAGGAGGGUGCAUGGUACAUCCACCCGAAACUAUGGUUCUAAUCACUGGGGCAUAUGCGGUGGUGACCCACGCCUAUUGCUGACCACAGACCAAACCCUGCUAUCCAGACGUUUUUGGAACCAAUAUGGCUUGUUCAACGUUUUGGGUUGCCGACCUUUGCUCUCACAAAUGGUGCUGUGACGUGCAUUCUGAAGAGGUACAUCAGUGGUGAGACGAGCUGAGACAUAAAAGAACUCCAACAUGAUUAAAGUGUAAACGACGACGUUCCAAAUGGGAAUUUGUCCACUUAAACACAAAUCUCCCUUAACCCGACUUGGAAUGGUGGGGGGUCGACGACUACUGCCCAAG